UAUGGCGACCGGCGCACGGGUGAGUAACGCGUAUGCAACUUACCUAUCAGAGGGGAGUAGCCGGCGAAAGUCGGAUUAAUACCCAUAAACAGGGGUCCCGCAUGGGAAUAUUUGUUAAAGAUUCAUCGCUGAUAGAUAGGCAUGCGUUUCAUUAGGCAGUUGGCGGGGUAACGGCCCACCAAACCGACGAUGGAUAGGGGUUCUGAGAGGAAGGUCCCCCACAUUGGUACUGAGACACGGACCAA
This 245-nucleotide ribosomal RNA is filed under the name uncultured bacterium. RNAcentral's name for it is "partial 16S ribosomal RNA". It matches the Rfam family "Bacterial small subunit ribosomal RNA", at positions 87 to 334 of the family's 1533-position model. The record is from RNAcentral.